This 479-nucleotide ribosomal RNA is filed under the name fungal sp. AM2013. RNAcentral describes it as "eukaryotic LSU rRNA". The stretch from base 126 to 279 matches the Rfam family "5.8S ribosomal RNA". Lineage: Eukaryota; Fungi. The record is from RNAcentral.
UUCGGUCCUUGCUGCACCCUUGUCUUUUGCGUACCGUAUGUUUCCUCGGCGGGCUUGCCUGCCGGUUGGACAUUAUCAAACCUUUUUGUAGUUGCAAUCAGCGUCAGAAAACAAACAAUAAUUACAACUUUCAACAACGGAUCUCUUGGUUCUGGCAUCGAUGAAGAACGCAGCGAAAUGCGAAAAGUAGUGUGAAUUGCAGAAUUCAGUGAAUCAUCGAAUCUUUGAACGCACAUUGCGCCCCUUGGUAUUCCAUGGGGCAUGCCUGUUCGAGCGUCAUUUUGUACCCUCAAGCACUGCUUGGUGUUGGGCGUUUGUCCUGCAAAGGACUCGCCUGAAAGCGAUUGGCGGCCAACGUACUGGUGGUAGAGCGCAGCACAAUUUGCGUCUCUCUCCUCUGCGUCGGCGUCCAUGAAGCCUUUUUUCAACGUUUGACCUCGGAUCAGGUAGGGAUACCCGCUGAACUUAAGCAUAUCAUA